AGAGUUUGAUCCUGGCUCAGGACGAACGCUGGCGGCGUGCCUAAUACAUGCAAGUCGAGCGAACAGAAGGGAGCUUGCUCCCGGAUGUUAGCGGCGGACGGGUGAGUAACACGUGGGUAACCUGCCUGUAAGACUGGGAUAACUCCGGGAAACCGGAGCUAAUACCGGAUAGUUCCUUGAACCGCAUGGUUCAAGGAUGAAAGACGGUUUCGGCUGUCACUUACAGAUGGACCCGCGGCGCAUUAGCUAGUUGGUGGGGUAAUGGCUCACCAAGGCGACGAUGCGUAGCCGACCUGAGAGGGUGAUCGGCCACACUGGGACUGAGACACGGCCCAGACUCCUACGGGAGGCAGCAGUAGGGAAUCUUCCGCAAUGGACGAAAGUCUGACGGAGCAACGCCGCGUGAGUGAUGAAGGUUUUCGGAUCGUAAAGCUCUGUUGUUAGGGAAGAACAAGUGCGAGAGUAACUGCUCGCACCUUGACGGUACCUAACCAGAAAGCCACGGCUAACUACGUGCCAGCAGCCGCGGUAAUACGUAGGUGGCAAGCGUUGUCCGGAAUUAUUGGGCGUAAAGGGCUCGCAGGCGGUUUCUUAAGUCUGAUGUGAAAGCCCCCGGCUCAACCGGGGAGGGUCAUUGGAAACUGGGAAACUUGAGUGCAGAAGAGGAGAGUG
Molecule: ribosomal RNA, 672 nt
Filed under: Bacillus pumilus
Lineage: Bacteria; Bacillati; Bacillota; Bacilli; Caryophanales; Bacillaceae
Description: bacterial SSU rRNA
Rfam family: Bacterial small subunit ribosomal RNA
Source: RNAcentral